Molecule: transfer RNA, 67 nt
Filed under: Thoradonta nodulosa
Lineage: Eukaryota; Metazoa; Arthropoda; Insecta; Orthoptera; Tetrigidae
Also listed under: 1 other name
Description: tRNA-Ser
Source: RNAcentral
GAAACUCAUUGAUUAUACUAAAGCCGCUAACUUUAAGUAAUAGCGGUUAAAAUCCGUUAAAGUUUCU